CAGGGGACAAGUGGACAGGGUGGAUACACCGAUGCCCAAGGACCCAGGACAGGGUGUCUGGAUACGGAACUCUGCAUGUUUGGCUUUCUCCAUCCCAGGGGCUAUCCCAGAAAUUGGGAGGGAUGAAGACCCCUUUGAGCUGUCCACUCUUGGGUCUGUACUUGAAGAAGACUCCCUUCCUGCUCACUACGGAUAUGCCUUGUGACCUCGCAAACUGCAAAAAGAAGGAGAUCCAGGGCCAAAGAGGGCCACAGACCCCAGCAUCCUCUCCACAUCUCCCUUCCCACUCAGCUGAGCAUGGAGGCCUCAGAAGGAAAGGGGCUUGGGACAGAGUUUCCUCCUCAGGUGGCUGGAAGGACAGAACAUCCUAGAGUCAGCACAUGGAUGCUUUUGGGAAGCCAUACAGACCCGUUUCUUCAUACCUGUGUCUUAUCUCCAGGACCCUCCAACAAUGUGGUCAGCAGGGUGAGUUCUGGAAGCUCCUCUCCUGUGGUGAGAGCUGGUUCCAGCAUCCAGUUCUGGGAGCCAGAGGUCAAGUGUCAGAGGUCAUGGGCUGUGUCUCCCCAGCAACCAGUGGCCCCCAACCUGCCCUCUCUCCCAGUGUCCUUCAUGGAUUGUCCUACAUGCUUUUGUGGUGCCCCUUGCUCACCUCAUAUGGUCCAGCCUGGCCACCGUCUGCCUCAGUUUCCACACUGAGACAAUGUUUGGAAUGAUCCAACCAUCUUCUCAGGCCACUGACUGGCCCUGGGGGGCCCGGGGAACAGGGGCCAGAGCUGAGGCCAGAGCUGGGGCCAGAGGGGGCAGCCAGACCCGAAGCAGCUGAAGCUGAGAUACUCCCCUCACUGCCAGCAAUGGAAUAGGACUCUAAUGGGGAGUGGGGGAAGAAAAGGGGCCAUAGCUAUUACUCCAGCUCUAGAUUCAGGGCUCUAGGGAGCUCCCAGAGGCUCUUCUUCAUAAUGCUGAGCCCUCCCCCAGGGCCCACUCUCUUGUCAUCCUCAUUUGAUUUGGCCAGGAUAGAAAAUUGCACCUGGGCAUCCUUGGGAGGGAGGACAGUAAACACCUGGGCUCCCAAAGCUUGGAACCUCCAGUUUCAUGUGGAUGCUCCCCCAUAUCCAGAGCACGCCACAGAUAUGGUUGGGCAGGCAUCUGGGCAGACAGGGGAAGCUGGGGGUGGCCAUCUGCUCUCCUACAAGCCACCCCCUUCCAAUGGGCACAGACCAUUCCCUGAGAAGGUGGGGGGGGGAGAGCUGAAAGGCCAUCUGCCACCCCCAGACCCCUCCUGCACCAAUUGCUGUAAUCACUAUAAAAAGAAAAGACUUCUGCAGCCCAUCUCCCCAAAACAUGCACAAACCCAACUGGGAGGGGGGAGGCAAGUGAGGAGAACUCAUUAGGGCUAUCUUUGCCCUGGGUCAGGAACAGAGGAUUAGAGAUUUGUCAUAAAGCCCCAGGUAGACCCUCAUCCUCAUUCCUCCUCUCUGGCCCUCUUCAGAUCCUUAGUAGAUUCUCAGCAAAAGGAUUUAAGAAAGAUUGGUUGUAGGCCCAGGGGGAUUGUGGAUGGGUUUUUCUCAGAACCCAGUUGACUACAAGAUGGAGAGAAGAGUUUGCUGCCCCUUCCCCAAUUUCCUUAACUUGAACUGAUUAAAAAUUUGGAGGCAGAAGGGAUCUUGGAGAUCUACUAAGUCACUUUCCUGGAAAACACAGGUACAAGUCUCCAACCUCUGAAUCCCUAGGACCAGGUCUGUCUGAGGCCCUGAACCAACAGCCCGCCCCCCACUCAACGCUGGGCCCUUGCGACCUCGCACUCACCACGACCCCCCCGGGCGAAGCAGCAGCCGCAUUUUGCCAGCACUUUUCGAAUCACGUGGGGACAGGCACAGCGACCCCCCUUGUGCCCCCCCCGCAUGGCGCCCGGGCCCCCCCGCACCCCCCACCCGGGCCGGCCAUGCAGGGGGAAUCACGGGGGGCGGGGCGGGGACGGCGCAGGGCGCACACCCCCCCUCCCUCCUACCCCGCUCCAGGCUGGGGGAGGAGGGGAGAGAGGGAACUGGAAAGGGGCGUCCAGGGGUAGGCGGAAGUCUGGUCUGGGGGAGGCCUGGGGGCUCCGCAGAGCGGGCGGCGCGAGGCCGGGCAGCCGAGCUGGGCGGGGAGGGUUUCCGGAACCCAGUCGGUGCGGGGCCCAGGGUCCAGAUGUCCAGCGGGGCGGGGAGGGAUGGUGGGGGAAGCUGGACCGGGAUGCGGCAGCCGCUCCAGCUCCGUCUCUGGCCUCUCGGGUUUGGGGUGGUUCUAGGCCCGGGCAGGGAGGAGGCGGGGGCCGACUCCCCGAGUCACUGGCGCUGCGCGGGUCCCGGCCGAACGGCGAGCCGAAUAACAGGCCCGGCCGCGGUGCCGCCGCGGGGAGGGGCCUCUGCGGCCCAGCUCCGCCCUCUCUCUCUGGUUUCCCCCCUUCAGCCUGUGCCGGCUCCAGCCCCAAUCCUCCUCCCCCAGGCACCACCACGUUCCCACUCCACGUCCCCACCGCCUCCGCCUCUCCUCUCCAGCCUAGGAUCCCCGCCCCGGGUUCCCCUCCCUACUGCCUCUCGAGCUCCCGACUGCGGAGCGCUGGGGUCGGGGGCGGGAUCUGCCCAGGUCGCCCCUCCGCCUCUGCAAUGGGGAAGGGUGCGGACGGAUGGGCCCGGGCCUGUGCGAAGACGUCCUGGGGGCUGGGACUGUCCCUAGCCGCGCAGGGUUAGACAAGCCCCCUACCCUUUGGGGACGCAUGAAUGGGGAGCUCUGUGGGGAACACAGCCCAGGUGCCGCCCUCUCUCGCCAGACCCUUCUUUCCUCCAGGCCCCAGGACUCCAGCUGAGGCUAAUCACCAAUUAAGGCGAAGUCCGGGAGCCCGGGCUGGCGAGGAGCCAGGGGUGGGGCGCGGGGACACUCCGCCUGUGGGGGCUCAGGGCCGGCUGAUGUGGGGUACACACAGCGCAUUAGAGGGCGAGAAGCGUGGAGGUCUUGGCAAUUAAAUGGGUCUCAUGCAGAUUAGAUGCAAGCCUUUAUGCUAAUAAGAGCAGCGUUAUUUGAAUUUGCCACUUUGCGCAGGAGGGCAAACCGUGCCCCACCCCACCUCCAGCGUCUUACCCGGCAGCGGAACCCAGGCGAGGACCUCACGUUCGCGCUCCCCUUUCUGGUCCCCUUCGAUACAGUCAGACUCUGUCUCGGUCCCUCCUGGCUCUAGGGGGCUUCCCUUCGGGGGCUGUGGGGAAAGACUGGUGGUAAGGAAACCACACUCCACGCCCAGCCUUGACCUCCCGCUUCUCCUUCUUCUCCUGUCAAAUCCACAUUGUUGUGAAAGGGUCGCCUAGGCUGGGUUGGAGGGACGGGUUCACCCAGACCAGGGCCUUGGCCCUCUUUUGGAACUCAUGGAAUCCUGCGACUGUCCUAUUCCUAUUUACUGGUAAAUUGAGUUGUAGGGUGCAGACCACCUGAAGCCCCCUAAAGAUUCCCAACCUCACCGUGGUCCCUCUUUCUUACCCACUCCUGCCCGGGGAGGGCGCAAGCGCGCAGCGUGCCCCCCAUGACCCCCAGUAUCCGGUCCGUACGGCCAGGGGCGGGGCGGUCCGGGGGCUUCAUGCUGGACCCCUACCCUGCUCCAAGUUUCAGGGCUGAGGGGGCACGGAAGCUUGGGGGCUCGAGGCCUGCUCGCGUCCGGGGAGUUGCUGCUGUCGAAUCCGCCCCCUGCCCGGCUCCGCCCCCACUCCCACCCCAGCCAAACUUCUCAAAGGGGUAGGGUUUUUGCUUUCUCUACAACCAAAGUUCAAUAACAAACAAACCUCUCUUAAUCCCGAUCCCGACGUGGAUGCGUCAGGAGCCCACUAAAUCGUGCCGUUUCCCCAGGCACUCUGAAGGCCGAGACAGGGGAGACACACAGGGAUUUCCCCGAUCGCCACCCCCUUCCCCUUCUCAGCAGGUUCCGCUCCCCACCCCACCCCCACCCUGGUCCACAGAACAGAGCGGGUGUGGCAGAGAGAGUUGCAUAUUUUACUUUAUUUGUAUUAAAUUAAAAGCUACAGUCUGGCGGCGAUUCCAGAACAGGGUAAGGAGGCUCCUUAUAGGGGGCAGAGAAGAGCGGGAGACAGACGGACAGAGAGGGAGACACAGGAGAGAAAGGACAAGGUUAAGGUAGAAGGGGGACUGUUUCUGAAGAACACACGAGGCCGGCUUCUCGGGGGCACACCUCGGCCCCAUUCCUCCUCCCCUACAGCGAAGUUCAGCAGUGGAGCAGUCUGUGGGGGCAGGGGCUCAAGAGACCCUCCUUCCCCACCUAGGUCCUUUCUCAGCUUAGUCACUGGAGCACAGCACAUACCAGAAAAAGCCAAGGGCAAUGGAGGGGGUAGGGAAAUUAG
Molecule: long non-coding RNA, 4382 nt
Organism: Mustela lutreola (European mink)
Lineage: Eukaryota; Metazoa; Chordata; Mammalia; Carnivora; Mustelidae
Exons: 2
Source: RefSeq, a predicted model, not a curated record